Long non-coding RNA from Toxotes jaculatrix (banded archerfish), 485 nucleotides. RefSeq lists it as uncharacterized. Lineage: Eukaryota; Metazoa; Chordata; Actinopteri; Toxotidae. The transcript has 4 exons. The record is from RefSeq and is a predicted model, not a curated record.
GGGAGGAGCUGAGUGAGAGGACCAUUUGAGACCAGGUGUAUGUGAGGUGGAGCCAGUGAAGGUGCUGCUGGUGCGGAAAGAGCACCAUCCUGUGGAAGUGAGGGACACACCAUUGCAUUUGUGUGUUGUCAGAGCUCUUUGUGGAUGGCAGAGCUUAUUUGGAGGGUCAUGAGAGACCAGGAGAUGCUACGUUGUGUGUGGAGACACCUGGUUGGCGUCUUAAAGGGACAGUCUCAGACACUGUGCUACACUUCCAGCCCACUUCCAGCCCAGGGAGGGCAAGGCCAGGUACAAGAGGAAGAUGGAGGAGCAGCUGAAGCAGCAAAACAUCAGUGGGGUGUGGAGGAGCCUAAAGACCAUCUCAGGCUUCAAAACACCCCACUCCCAGGCUGAGGGGGGCCUGCAGUGGGUGAACGACUUGAACCAACACUUCAACCGGUUUGACCAGCCACCCACUACUCCCCCCACGCAGCUGCCCCACACCU